Molecule: ribosomal RNA, 465 nt
Filed under: uncultured bacterium
Lineage: Bacteria
Description: partial 16S ribosomal RNA
Rfam family: Bacterial small subunit ribosomal RNA
Source: RNAcentral
GACGAACGCUGGCGGCGUGCUUAACACAUGCAAGUCGAACGGAAAGGCCCCUUUGGGGGUACUCGAGUGGCGAACGGGUGAGUAACACGUGAGUAACCUGCCCUUGACUUCGGGAUAACUUCAGGAAACUGGGGCUAAUACCGGAUAGGAAUCCUUGCUGCAUGGUGGGGGUUGGAAAGCUUCGGCGGUUUUGGAUGGACUCGCGGCUUAUCAGCUUGUUGGUGGGGUAGUGGCUUACCAAGGCUUUGACGGGUAGCCGGCCUGAGAGGGCGACCGGCCACAUUGGGACUGAGAUACGGCCCAGACUCCGACGGGAGGCAGCGGUGGGGAAUAUUGCACAAUGGGCGGAAGCCUGAUGCAGCAACGCCGCGUGCGGGAUGACGGCCUUCGGGUUGUAAACCGCGUUCAGCAGGGGCGAAGCUUGUGGUGACGGUACCUGCAGAAGAAGCACCGGCUAACUACGUG